GGCCCGGGGCCCUGGGGAAGAUGAGCGCCCUCCUAGAGCAGAAGGAGCAGCAGGAGAGGCUGCGGGAGGCGGCGGCCUUGGGGGACAUUCGGGAGGUGCAGAAACUGGUGGAGAGCGGGGUGGAUGUGAACUCGCAAAAUGAGGUCAACGGCUGGACCUGUUUACACUGGACAUGUAAACACAACCAUGAACAGGUGGUGUCCUACCUGCUACAGUCAGGAGCUGACAGAGAGAUUCUUACAACAAAAGGGGAAAUGCCUGUACAACUAACAUCAAGGAGAGAAAUCAGGAAGAUUAUGGGAGUGGAAGAAGCCAAUGAGGAGGAGAAGAUCCCCCAGCUGAAGCAGGAGUCAGAACUGCCCUUUGUUCCCAACUAUCUGGCCAACCCAGCCUUCCCUUUAAUCUACAGCCCUGCAGCAGAAGACUCCACCCAAUUGCAGAAUGGGGGCCCCUCCCCACCUCCAGUGUCACCUCCUACAGAUGGCUCACCUCCAUUGCUUCCCCCCACAGAAACCCCUCUGCUAGGGGCCUUUCCUAGGGACCACAGCUCUUUGGCACUGGUCCAGAAUGGUGAUAUUUCUGCCCCCUCUGCCAUACUUAGAACACCAGAAAGCACAAAACCUGGUCCUGUCUGUCAGCCACCAGUGAGUCAGAACCGCUCCCUGUUCUCUGUCCCAUCCAAGCCCCCGGUGUCUCUGGAGCCUCAGAACGGGACAUAUGCAGGCCCGGCUCCAGCAUUCCAGCCAUUUUUCUACACCGGAGCAUUUCCGUUUAAUAUGCAAGAGCUGGUACUCAAGGUGAGGAUUCAGAAUCCAUCUCUUCGUGAAAAUGACUUCAUUGAAAUUGAACUGGAUCGACAGGAACUUACCUACCAAGAACUGCUGAGAGUGAGCUGCUGUGAGCUGGGUGUUAAUCCAGACCAAGUGGAGAAGAUAAGGAAGUUACCCAACACUCUGUUAAGAAAGGACAAAGAUGUUGCCCGACUCCAGGACUUCCAGGAGCUGGAACUGGUUCUGAUGAUAAGUGACAAUAAUUUUCUGUUUAGAAACGCUGCAUCCACACUGACUGAGAGGCCUUGCUAUAACCGGAGAGCUUCAAAACUGACGUACUAAUGCAGCAGGGACUUCAUCAUUGAGUACUGUGACAGUAUGUGUCACCUCUGGGCCAAAGGACAAGCCAUUGAUCCCAAAGCCUCGGAUGCCCACCAGGGCCCCUGGUGCCACUGCGUAGUGUUCACUAACACCCCGCCUCAGCAGGCAGGAGCCCCGACCCCCCAGCAGCGGUGCCACUCUUCCAAGCCUCUUGGUGCACAAUAAACUAUUGCUGAAUCUUUGAACAGC
Molecule: non-coding RNA, 1340 nt
Organism: Mus caroli (Ryukyu mouse)
Lineage: Eukaryota; Metazoa; Chordata; Mammalia; Rodentia; Muridae
Source: RefSeq, a predicted model, not a curated record